Molecule: unclassified non-coding RNA, 478 nt
Filed under: Hevea brasiliensis (rubber tree)
Lineage: Eukaryota; Viridiplantae; Streptophyta; Magnoliopsida; Malpighiales; Euphorbiaceae
Source: RNAcentral
CUUUAACCGAUGGAUUCCUAUCCGAUUCUGUAGAAAACUUGAACAGUUGAACAUUUGCUUACGCCUCGAUGCUCUUUUCUUUACACAUUUUAUGUGGAAUUUGGAAGCAAAAUUCAAAUCUAAAUUGCUAGCACGUGGAUCAGAACUUAAAAUACAAGAACCAGAAGAAAAAAUUUGCAGAACUGCCUCAGAAGUUCCCAUCAUAAAAUGCUUAUCAAGAACAUCAAAUUGCAACAAAUUGAAAAUGCCUUUAGUCAAAGUGCUUCCAAGAACUUUGCCUUGACUCAAGACACACCUGAAACUAAACCAACAAAUUUUGGUUGGGACCAAGCAAAAUUAUCUGAAGGAACGAAUAAAGAGACUUAAAUUAUAGUAUAAUCUGCACGAAUGCUAUGGGUUUUCUAUAUUGGAUAAGCAAACACAUAACCCGUGCCUUGAACGAAACUAAACAAGCAAUCGCAAUCAGAACUAAAGAUAG